CCGGCGCACGGGUGAGUAACGCGUAUAGAACCUACCUUUUACUGGAGAAUAACCAGGAGAAAUUCUGACUAAUACUCCAUAGUAUGUAUAAGUUGCAUAGUUUAUACAUUAAAGAUUUAUUGGUAAAAGAUGGCUAUGCGUCCUAUUAGCUAGAUGGUGUGGUAACGGCACACCAUGGCAACGAUAGGUAGGGGCCCUGAGAGGGGGAUCCCCCACACUGGUACUGAGACACGGACCAGACUCCUACGGGAGGCAGCAGUGAGGAAUAUUGGACAAUGGAGGCAACUCUGAUCCAGCCAUGCCGCGUGCAGGAAGACUGCCCUAUGGGUUGUAAACUGCUUUUAUACAGGAAGAAACACUCCCUCGUGAGGGAGCUUGACGGUACUGUAAGAAUAAGGAUCGGCUAACUCCGUGCCAGCAGCCGCGGUAAUACGGAGGAUCCAAGCGUUAUCCGGAAUCAUUGGGUUUAAAGGGUCCGUAGGUGGAUAAUUAAGUCAGAGGUGAAAUCCUGCAGCUCAACUGUAGAAUUGCCUUUGAUACUGGUUAUCUUGAGUUAUUAUGAAGUAGUUAGAAUAUGUAGUGUAGCGGUGAAAUGCAUAGAUAUUACAUAGAAUACCAAUUGCGAAGGCAGAUUACUAAUAAUCAACUGACACUGAUGGACGAAAAGCCGUGGGGAGCCGAACAGGAUUAGAUAC
Molecule: ribosomal RNA, 695 nt
Filed under: uncultured bacterium
Lineage: Bacteria
Description: bacterial SSU rRNA
Rfam family: Bacterial small subunit ribosomal RNA
Source: RNAcentral